This 464-nucleotide ribosomal RNA is filed under the name uncultured bacterium. RNAcentral's name for it is "partial 16S ribosomal RNA". It matches the Rfam family "Bacterial small subunit ribosomal RNA", at positions 28 to 507 of the family's 1533-position model. The record is from RNAcentral.
GACGAACGCUGGCGGCGUGCUUAACACAUGCAAGUCGUACGGUAAGGCCCUUUCGGGGGUACACGAGUGGCGAACGGGUGAGUAACACGUGAGUAACCUGCCCACAACUUUGGGAUAACGCUAGGAAACUGGUGCUAAUACUGGAUAUGUGCUCCUGCUGCAUGGUGGGGGUUGAAAGCUCCGGCGGUUGUGGAUGGACUCGCGGCCUAUCAGCUUGUUGGUGGGGUAGUGGCCUACCAAGGCGGCGACGGGUAGCCGGCCUGAGAGGGUGACCGGCCACAUUGGGACUGAGAUACGGCCCAGACUCCUACGGGAGGCAGCAGUGGGGAAUAUUGCACAAUGGGCGCAAGCCUGAUGCAGCAACGCCGCGGGCGGGAUGACGGCCUUCGGGUUGUAAACCGCUUUCAGCAGGGACGAAGCUUUUUGUGACGGUACCUGCAGAAGAAGCACCGGCUAACUACGUG